GGGUUGGAUUAAAUCCUUUGGGAUAAGGUAUCAUGGAGGGUGAGAAUCCCGUGUAUACCAACCACUGGAAUGUUAUUAAUACGAUUUCUAAGAGUCGAGUUGUUUGGGAAUGCAGCUCUAAAUGGGUGGUAAAUUUCACCUAAUGCUAAAUAUAAGCGAGAGACCGAUAGUGAACAAGUACCGUGAGGGAAAGAUGAAAAGAACUUUGAAAAGAGAGUUGAAUAGUACGUGAAAUUGUUGAAAGGGAAACGGUUGAAGUCAGUCAUGCCGGUGGGAAUCAACUUAGGGGAAACUCUGAGUGCACUUCUUCACUUGGCAGGUUAGCGUCGAUUUUGAAUGUCAUAAAAUGACUAGGGGAAGGUAGCUCCUUCGGGAGUGUUAAGCCCUUAGUAGAUGUGAUGUUCUAGAUCGAGGAUUGCAACGGAUACCCUUUGGGCUAGCCGCCUGGUCUCUAAUACGAAGUUGGGUACGGACAGCAUGCUGACCGUGAUCUAAUUUUCGGUUAAAAGAUUAGAGCGAGUGUAAAUUCGUUAAGGACGCUGACGUAAUGGCUUUAAACGACCCGUCUUGAAACACGGACCAAGGAGUCUAACAUGUAUGCGAGUGUUAGGGUAAUAAACCCAGACGCGAAAUGAAAGUGAGUGUAGGUGGGAUCCUUUAUUGGAGCACCAUCGACC
Molecule: ribosomal RNA, 677 nt
Filed under: uncultured Glomeromycotina
Lineage: Eukaryota; Fungi; Glomeromycota
Description: eukaryotic LSU rRNA
Rfam family: Eukaryotic large subunit ribosomal RNA
Source: RNAcentral